Long non-coding RNA from Salarias fasciatus (jewelled blenny), 668 nucleotides. RefSeq lists it as uncharacterized. The transcript is spliced from 4 exons. The record is from RefSeq and is a predicted model, not a curated record. Lineage: Eukaryota; Metazoa; Chordata; Actinopteri; Blenniiformes; Blenniidae.
GUAAAAAACCCAAUUACCAAAACAUUGACUCAAUUAGAAGAUUGCUAAGGCAAGUUGAAAUAGACCAUUGGCUCAAGUGUUGUUAUUGGGAAAGCCAGUUAAUAAAUGUUUGUACAAUUAUUCAUAAAAAAUAUUGAGUCAGGUGAUAAAUUGUUGUUGGGUGAACGCCAACAAUGGCUGAUAUUGACUCAACUAACAUACAGUAAUUGAGUGAAUGGAUUGGACAAGUUGUGCAUUUGUUGACUGAACAAAUGUGGGCGGCGUCAUUUACGGUAAUGAACUUCGAGCAAAGGAAGUACGGCAAAGCCACAAAGUUUGUCGACACGGCCUCACGGAGGGACGAGGAGUGACAGAUGAAAGGAGGUCGUUGCUGAAGAUGUGCAUGUCUCCACAAUCAGCCAGAGAUGGCCAGCCCUAUUCUUGUUGGAUCAGGUACAUGCAGAAUUCAAAAGAGUAACAGGAAAAGAAUUGAUGGAAACGUUCUUCCCCUCCUUGGAUGAGCACACCAGAGCUCCGCACCGCAGCUCACCACCCCACUCAAGUGACACUAAGGAGUCUGUUGGAGUACCUAGACGAGCAGACCACAGAGAUCGUUAAACAUCGGAGGGUGGUGGCUGUCAAAGGGCUGCAGUAUUACCUGGGGGAGAAAACCGAGCUUUUCAACACCU